CCAAUAUGUAUGGAACGCCUG
This 21-nucleotide non-coding RNA is filed under the name Arabidopsis thaliana (thale cress). Lineage: Eukaryota; Viridiplantae; Streptophyta; Magnoliopsida; Brassicales; Brassicaceae. The record is from RNAcentral.